UGGGGAAUAUUGGACAAUGGACCAAAAGUCUGAUCCAGCAAUUCUGUGUGCUUGAUGAAGGCCUUCGGGUUGUAAAGAGCUUUAAGUAGGGAAGAAGAAAGUGACGGUACCUACAGAAUAAGCGACGGCUAAAUACGUGCCAGCAGCCGCGGUAAUACGUAUGUCGCAAGCGUUAUCCGGAAUUAUUGGGCAUAAAGGGCGUCUAGGCGGUUUAGAAAGUCUGAUGUGAAAAUGCGGGGCUCAACCCCGU
Molecule: ribosomal RNA, 250 nt
Filed under: uncultured bacterium
Lineage: Bacteria
Description: partial 16S ribosomal RNA
Rfam family: Bacterial small subunit ribosomal RNA
Source: RNAcentral